UCACAGAUUUUCUUCUUUCCGCGUUGAACUUUUGUUUCAUUUCUUUUGCCGGAGAUAGUUACAGCGGGAGGAAAUUCUCUUUAAGGUUAUUGUCAGUUGACGAAACCCCGCCGGGACAGCAGUACUGCAGUUUUCUCAUCUAGUCUGUCUUAGUACGAAACCCGGCCUCAGCUGGGGGUUCCUGGCUUUUCCUGGGAGCUACGUGGGCUCAGCUGAGAAGGCAAUGGCACCUCACUCCAGUACUCUUGCCUGGAAAAUCCCAUGGAUGGAGGAGCCUGGUGGGCUGCCGUCUGUGGGGGUCGCACGGAGUCGGACAAGACUGAAGCGACUUAGCAACAGCAGCAUGUGGGCUCAGGAGACCGACUCAAAACUAUUCUCCUUCCGAAAUUUACAGCCCUGAAGAUUGGGAUUCCACUAUCACACAGGAAUGGAAUCUUUUCUUCCACCCUGUGUAUUACCUUUUCUUGUCUGUGAAAUGGGGACGAGUUCAGUUCCCAACUUUGCGUGGAGAAGCAAUGAGACCUGCUCAUUUGGCUUCGAAAAAUUUUGAAUGAAUACCCAGAACACACUUCA
Capra hircus (goat) is the source of this 573-nucleotide long non-coding RNA. RefSeq lists it as uncharacterized. The transcript has 2 exons. NCBI's taxonomy places the organism in Eukaryota, Metazoa, Chordata, Mammalia, Artiodactyla, Bovidae. The record is from RefSeq and is a predicted model, not a curated record.